This 596-nucleotide ribosomal RNA is filed under the name uncultured bacterium. RNAcentral's name for it is "bacterial SSU rRNA". It matches the Rfam family "Bacterial small subunit ribosomal RNA", at positions 544 to 1142 of the family's 1533-position model. The record is from RNAcentral.
UCCGGAUUUAUUGGGCGUAAAGGGCUCGUAGGCGGCUCGUCGCGUCCGGUGUGAAAGUCCAUCGCUUAACGGUGGAUCUGCGCCGGGUACGGGCGGGCUGGAGUGCGGUAGGGGAGACUGGAAUUCCCGGUGUAACGGUGGAAUGUGUAGAUAUCGGGAAGAACACCGAUGGCGAAGGCAGGUCUCUGGGCCGUCACUGACGCUGAGGAGCGAAAGCGUGGGGAGCGAACAGGAUUAGAUACCCUGGUAGUCCACGCCGUAAACGGUGGACGCUGGAUGUGGGGCACGUUCCACGUGUUCCGUGUCGGAGCUAACGCGUUAAGCGUCCCGCCUGGGGAGUACGGCCGCAAGGCUAAAACUCAAAGAAAUUGACGGGGGCCCGCACAAGCGGCGGAGCAUGCGGAUUAAUUCGAUGCAACGCGAAGAACCUUACCUGGGCUUGACAUGUUCCCGACGACGCCAGAGAUGGCGUUUCCCUUCGGGGCGGGUUCACAGGUGGUGCAUGGUCGUCGUCAGCUCGUGUCGUGAGAUGUUGGGUUAAGUCCGCAACACGCACCCUCGCCCCCGUGUUGCCACACGUUAUGGUGGGAACUCAC